Gambusia affinis (western mosquitofish) is the source of this 1778-nucleotide long non-coding RNA. RefSeq lists it as uncharacterized. NCBI's taxonomy places the organism in Eukaryota, Metazoa, Chordata, Actinopteri, Cyprinodontiformes, Poeciliidae. The record is from RefSeq and is a predicted model, not a curated record. The transcript has 4 exons.
CCUGCUCUCCUCCCUCUCUCCAGGCGUUUUUUGAUUUCUCCUCUCACCUCCUCUUUCUCUCUCCCCCUUUCAUAUCCCAGAGUGCCUCUUUCUUCUGUUCGUCUCUUCCGAUCGCAAGUUCUCCUCAAGCCAGCUUUCCUUUGCCAGGACCUCCACAGCCUGUCUGGUCCUCCUGAGCAGUUACUGCCUUCCCAGCAUUAUCCAGCAGGCCCAUCUGUGAGCUGGAGGACGAGAUCUGAUUGAAGCACGGGAUCUACUGUGCUAAUCUAAUGUACAUAUGAGCAAAUAUGCAGCAAUGCUUUGAAUGAGCAUUAAAGCUCAUCAAAUUGUGUGAAUAUAGAUAAUGAAUUAAUCCGUUCUCCUCAAAGAACUUUGCCAUGUGUUAGUUAUGUUUCCUAGCACAUUUUGGCUGUUUAAAUCCAUAUAAAUGUCUGAUGGACAAAGUCAUUGCUAAUAUUGUUUGCAGAUACAAAUAUUCACAAUCUUUGAGAGAAAGUAUACUAUCUAUUAAUCUUCAACUCUCACCACCUUCCCAACAUUAGAGUGUAAACAGUGAAAGAGGUGUAAAAUCUGAACUAUAUUAUUCAAAAAAGAAGCUCUUGUUUUAUUGUAGGCAAGUUCUACAACCUCUCACGAGUCAGCAUGUGGUGUCUCCAACCACUGCAGAUUUCAGACCUAAAACAGUCUCUAUCCUCUAUAGUGUGAACACCAGUAUCCCAAAUAUGAUGUUGACGGGACAUAUGUCAUGCUUGGUUUGCAAAGGACCCGGGCACGGAAAUCUUUGUUGAAGUGAAUAGUCCUUAAAAAGAAAGAAAGAACAAAUCUACUUUUAGAGAAGACACGUGGUGGCUAGAGGAUGUUACAGAGAAAAAUCAAACAUACAAAACUGAGGUGAGCAACAGAAGGAUCCAACAAGGAAUGACUGAAGAAACUCUGGUGUUCCUCAGUGGUCAUAGCCCCAUGUCUGACACUGAUGGGUUCUGUUGCUCCGUUCACUGCUGUCCUCCUACGACAGGCACCCAGCUCCCAACUCUUAAUUGGUGGAAAUGCUAGCAGCGUCUGGUUAUGGCACCUUCUCGGAGCUGCCAGUCUCCAAGACGAGCGUCUUCCUCACAGAGAUCCCCUUCCUGGCUGCUCCACCACUCACCUCCUUCAGACCAGCAGCAUGCAGCAAAAAGUUGACACUUGGUGCAACAGUACAUCCGCUGAGCUCGUCGUAGGAACGACUUGUUAGUGCAACGCGCCAGAGAACGUUGUAAAUGGCUUAAAGGGGAAACAUUCUUGUGGUCAUGGGCUGUAGAUAAAGUGUCAGAAAGAGCUGGAGACAAAGGCCUAACUUCAAAAUGUUAAAUUGGAAAAUCAAACUUCUUUUUAACCAUGUUUGAGACACAAGUAGUUCUCUGCCUCUAGCAACCAUCAAGAGCUUUGAGCAAAUUACCUUAUUGCAGAUGUAUUGUGUUUAAUUUGAAGGAAUGCUUAUAAUCAACAGUGCAGCCAAAACAAUGGGGCUUUUUACUUAAGUAAUACUUUUAACCUGUUUGGAGUUGCUAUUAGGCCUUUUUACUCAGCUGGUGAGAAGGAGGAAGCAACCAGGUGGAACAGGUUUUAAAAAUAAAAAGUGGUUUAUUGUUUAGGUUUCUUCCAAGUAAAAGGGGAAAUUCUCUGUUAUGUCUGUUUAAUUCACAAGCUGCGUAUUCAUGUAAGGAAAUUGUGAUAUUAAAUUGACUGUAUAAAGACUUCCGACCCACCUUUACAAGACAAUCAGAAAUUAAUUAUAA